UGGAUAACCUUAUAUGAUCAUUUUGAGCUU
This 30-nucleotide non-coding RNA is filed under the name Mus musculus (house mouse). The record is from RNAcentral. Lineage: Eukaryota; Metazoa; Chordata; Mammalia; Rodentia; Muridae.